This 510-nucleotide long non-coding RNA is filed under the name Musa acuminata (dwarf banana). RNAcentral's name for it is "long non-coding RNA (MACU_LNC007131)". Lineage: Eukaryota; Viridiplantae; Streptophyta; Magnoliopsida; Zingiberales; Musaceae. The record is from RNAcentral.
AAGCUUCAGGUGAUUCGAUCAAUACAAAGCCUUCUCUCCUCUUCUCCUCAUAACCUAGACACCAAGAACAAAGCUCUCUCUCUCUCUCUCUCUCUCUCUCUCUCUCUUCCUAGUAUGCACAACCCACUUAUUCAAUGAACACUAAGGAACCGUAAUAUAUAUAUGCUGGGAAGACCGACUCGGUUCAUCUUCAUCAUCUGUUGUGGAGGGGGUCGGAGGAACUCGGUACCCUCCUUUUGCUAUCUUCCAUGCCUGCCGUCGGAAAAGGCCGGGGAGGUAGCGGUCCCCGCCCGAUGAAAAACGCCUGGCCUCCACUGUGGCUCCCGGAGCUCGCCAGAAACAACUGAGGGCCAGCAGCUGCAGUAGUAUUCUGGAAGUACAGCCAGAAGCUCAACAGUAGCUGCAGCGUCAGCAACAGCCCAACUCCUCCCUUCCUCCUCCUCGUACAACCGGCCGUCGACAUCCACGCGAUCGCACCGUUAUCAUUCCCGAGUGAGUCUCUUCGCCUGA